This 30-nucleotide non-coding RNA is filed under the name Macaca fascicularis (crab-eating macaque). Lineage: Eukaryota; Metazoa; Chordata; Mammalia; Primates; Cercopithecidae. The record is from RNAcentral. RNAcentral also lists the same sequence under 1 other name.
UUGCAUGUUUUGUGCAGAUGAGGUAACCGC